This 304-nucleotide unclassified non-coding RNA is filed under the name uncultured Ascomycota. RNAcentral's name for it is "sequence contains ITS1". The stretch from base 1 to 105 matches the Rfam family "5.8S ribosomal RNA", at positions 50 to 154 of the family's 154-position model. The record is from RNAcentral. Lineage: Eukaryota; Fungi; Ascomycota.
GAAAUGCGAUAAGUAGUGUGAAUUGCAGAAUUCAGUGAAUCAUCGAAUCUUUGAACGCACAUUGCGCCCCUCGGUAUCCCGGGGGGCAUGCCUGUUCGAGCGUCAUUUCUACCACUCAAGUUUAGCUUGGUAUUGGGCAUCGUUAUGAAAAUAUUAACGUGCUUUAAAUGUAGACGGCAACAAUUCCCCAGCUUAGAGCGUAGCAGUAAAACAUUUUCGCUUUAAAAGCUGCUGGGUCUUGUUUACCGCAUAGUUUUUACUACAGUUUGACCUCGGAUCAGGCAGGGAUACCCGCUGAACUUAA